UUAACCUUUGGCCCAAUCCAUUUUAUUGUUUAAUUUCUAAUUUUUCUAACUUUUGGCCCAACAAUCAACUACCCAAGUCCAACUAAAUAACUAAUAAGUAAAAUAACCUACUCUUCAAUCUUGAAUCCCACUCCCACCUUCUCUAACUCUCUGUGCCGGCCGUUCCCUUCAGCUCUAGCAUCAAGAGAUUGGUUUUCUUUGACAAGAGAUUGUACCCACGACAGAUCGGGCUCCUCUUCCUCGUUAUUGGGUUCAACGGGGGUUGAUUGCUUCAAUUGAGAUUAUGCAAUUGCUUUAUUGCGAUUUUAUACCUCAAUUUCAAUGAAGCUAUAUGAGUUUCUACUGCUCGGGUUAUCUAGUACGUGGCUGUCAUUAAGAAGAAAUAUGGUCAAGAUGCCACCAAUGUAUGGGAUGAGGGUGGAUUUUCUCCUAACAUUCAGGAUUUAAUCAAGUUUCUUCUUAAGGUGACCAAUUCUGGAUGCCUAAAUGGGAGACAAAAAGCAGCCUAAUGAGAGGUCAGAAAUAUGGAAUCAUUUCACUAAGAUACUUGGGGGAGAAAGAGCAAAAUGUAAUUACUGUGGGAAAACAUUUAAGGCUGACACUAAUAGUGGAACUUCUAGCAUGUGGAAGCAUUUAAAAAUUUGUUAUGCAUAUAAGAACACUAAAAUUGAUGAAAACCAACCACUUGUUAUUUACAUGUUAUUAAAUUUGACUAUGUUAAUUUGUAAAACUAUGAUUGAAUGUGUCAUUAGUUGUAUUUAUAUGGUGUUUUUAUAAAUAUUAAAAAAUUUAAUUAUAGUAUG
Molecule: long non-coding RNA, 803 nt
Organism: Olea europaea var. sylvestris
Lineage: Eukaryota; Viridiplantae; Streptophyta; Magnoliopsida; Lamiales; Oleaceae
Exons: 3
Source: RefSeq, a predicted model, not a curated record